This 1031-nucleotide ribosomal RNA is filed under the name marine metagenome. RNAcentral's name for it is "bacterial SSU rRNA". It matches the Rfam family "Bacterial small subunit ribosomal RNA", at positions 173 to 1208 of the family's 1533-position model. The record is from RNAcentral.
AUAGUAUAACGAUUUCGCAUGUUAUUGUUAUUAAAGCUUCGGCGGAAAAGGAUGAGCAUGCGUCCCAUUAGUUAGUUGGUAAGGUAAUGGCUUACCAAGACAUCGAUGGGUAGGGGGCCUGAGAGGGUUAUCCCCCACACUGGUACUGAGACACGGACCAGACUCCUACGGGAGGCAGCAGUGAGGAAUAUUGGACAAUGGACGAAAGUCUGAUCCAGCCAUGCCGCGUGUAGGAAGAAUGCCCUAUGGGUUGUAAACUGCUUUUAUAUAGGAAGAAACCUCUCGACGUGUCGGGAGCUGACGGUACUAUAAGAAUAAGGACCGGCUAACUCCGUGCCAGCAGCCGCGGUAAUACGGAGGGUCCAAGCGUUAUCCGGAUUUAUUGGGUUUAAAGGGUACGUAGGCGGAGUUUUAAGUCAGUAGUGAAAUCCCAUCGCUUAACGAUGGAACUGCUAUUGAAACUGAUACUCUUGAAUAUAGUUGAAGUGGGCGGAAUACGGCAUGUAGCGGUGAAAUGCAUAGAUAUGCCGUGGAACACCGAUUGCGAAGGCAGCUCACUAAGCUAUUAUUGACGCUAAGGUACGAAAGCGUGGGUAGCGAACAGGAUUAGAUACCCUGGUAGUCCACGCCGUAAACGAUGAUUACUCGGUGCUAGCGAUAUACUGUUAGUGCCUAAGCGAAAGUGAUAAGUAAUCCACCUGGGGAGUACGAUCGCAAGGUUGAAACUCAAAGGAAUUGACGGGGGCCCGCACAAGCGGUGGAGCAUGUGGUUUAAUUCGAUGAUACGCGAGGAACCUUACCUGGGCUUAAAUGCAUAAUGACAGGCUGAGAAAUCAGUUUUUCUUCGGACAGAAUGCAAGGUGCUGCAUGGCCGUCGUCAGCUCGUGCUGUGAGGUGUCGGGUUAAGUCCCAUAACGAGCGCAACCCCUAUUUCUAGUUGCCAGCACAUAAUGGUGGGGACUCUAGAGAAACUGCCCGCGCAAGCGGUGAGGAAGGUGGGGACGACGUCAGGUCAUCACGGCCCUUACGUC